UCCAGAGCUCCGCCGCCUCCCUAUGGAGUCGCCUUCAGGACUCAGUCUCCAAGCAAGCUUUCGAUACUCCUCUCAAUCGAUUCAACAUCCCCGAUCUCCACGUCGGAACCUUAGAUUCCCUUCUUGCCCUCAGUGAGAUGCACAAGGUAAUUGCGUGAGAUCUUGACUGAAUUUUGGGUUUUCAUGGUUUUGGUGUUGAUUCGCGAGAUCUGGCAGUCGAAUGCUAAUCCCAAUUAAAAUUGAAGCCAUAAGUAAAAGCAGAAGAUUCCAUGACAGCAACCUCCUCCUCUGCUUUCAAAAGCCCAUUCACCGUUCAAAAUUUUCGUGGCUAUAAGAGAAACCCAACUGUUAAUUUUGCCCUUCUCCAAACUUUCGUGGUUUGUCAAAGUUCCUUUCCCUCUGUGAGUCUCCUCUUUAGCUCGGUCUAAUUGUUUUUUAUUUUUUUUAUUUUUAAUCUCUUUGCUUAUUUUGAUUGAUUUGAAGACUUGAGUAGGGGCCAAAUUGAAGUUUCUGCUGCCGUUAUCCCUUUGUUUUGAUUGAUUUGUAUGUUUUAUGCUGCGAAGUUGAUUAAUUUAGUUGUUCAAGUGUCUCUCAGAGCCUGAUGAUUCUUUCAUUUUGUUUGCUCAUUUGAUUGACUUCGAAGGGGAUUUGGGUCAGCUUUCUCGGGCAAAGUGUUCCUUUUUAGCUGGAGAUUAUCAGUUUGGAAAUUAUAUUACUUAAUUUACCGUGGUUUGUUUUAGCCUUUCAAACUAGUCAUUGUGUGGCAAUAGCUUGUAAAUUUAGUUGCUAAGGUGGUUAUUCCUCUCUCGUCGUCGGAGCUCUCUCGCCGCCGCUCGAAGCUCUGUCGCUCCCUCCUCCUCUUCGGUGAAAACCUUAACUCCUCCUCCUGCAGCUACUACCGUUUGUACUACUCUACACUGAAAGGUACGUGAGUCUAUUUUUUUUGGCUUUCUCUUUAUUUAGCUAAACCUCCUAAAUCACAUUAAAUAGCUACGGUGUUUGCUGCUUCAGUUGAUGUAUCACAUAUGCAUAAUUGUUUGCUUCAGCUUGAUAUGAGUAACCUUGCUCAGUUCCCUCCUACUUCAGGUAGUUAUGUUUGUUAAAUUCAGUAAGACUAAAAGAUCAAGCUCUCAAUUAUUAUGCAUGUCGACAACGGGGUUUGUAUUUAAAUAUUUAGAGUUUUCCUUAAAUAUAAAGGAAUGGAACCGUUACACAUUUCCACAAGAGUACAUCCAAAACUCCAAGCAUCUGACUCCUCAGAUAUACUACCAAUUGCAUCAUCCCAAAAUCGAUUCAAAGAUUUUUUUUAUUGGCUCCCAUGCCUCUGGAGCAGUAUAAUGUGGACUUAACAAUGUACAAUCCUAUGCAGAAUUUACUUAUUCAGAUGAAUACACAAGUCAACUUUGCCCGUGCUUCUCCAUGAGGUGGAGAUAAUCCCACAUUUGCUUUUGAAAAUGAUAUUUCUCUAAAGAAAAACGAAGGGGAUCAACCGGUAUGUCAUUAUGGUGAGUGAAUAUUGACUUUAUCUCAUUUCUUAGUUUUCAAGAGACCCCUAAACUAGGUAUCAUUAAGUGCUUACAUGUCAAUUUACUUGGGAUAUGGCAUUAAACUGUAACGUACAUAGACCUGAGUCGAUAUUGAAGAUUCUCUUCAGCUACAAAGGUUGAUAACAAGAAAUGUGCUAUAAUGUGAUUAUAAUUGUUUUCAGCGAAAGUUGACUCCAUUGUCGAUUCCAUUAAACUUUGAUUUGUUUACA
Molecule: long non-coding RNA, 1756 nt
Organism: Asparagus officinalis (garden asparagus)
Lineage: Eukaryota; Viridiplantae; Streptophyta; Magnoliopsida; Asparagales; Asparagaceae
Exons: 3
Source: RefSeq, a predicted model, not a curated record